This 71-nucleotide transfer RNA is filed under the name Bos taurus (domestic cattle). It matches the Rfam family "tRNA". From Rfam's summary of the family: Transfer RNA (tRNA) molecules are approximately 80 nucleotides in length. Their secondary structure includes four short double-helical elements and three loops (D, anti-codon, and T loops). RNAcentral also lists the same sequence under 5 other names. Lineage: Eukaryota; Metazoa; Chordata; Mammalia; Artiodactyla; Bovidae. The record is from Rfam by way of RNAcentral.
UCCCUGAUGGCUUGGUGGUAAAGAGCCUGCCUGCAAUGCAGGAGACCUGGGCUCAAUCCCUGGGUUGGGAA